RNAcentral lists this ribosomal RNA (2902 nucleotides) under Escherichia coli. RNAcentral describes it as "23S ribosomal RNA". It matches the Rfam family "Bacterial large subunit ribosomal RNA". Lineage: Bacteria; Pseudomonadati; Pseudomonadota; Gammaproteobacteria; Enterobacterales; Enterobacteriaceae. The record is from RNAcentral.
GGUUAAGCGACUAAGCGUACACGGUGGAUGCCCUGGCAGUCAGAGGCGAUGAAGGACGUGCUAAUCUGCGAUAAGCGUCGGUGAGGUGAUAUGAACCGUUAUAACCGGCGAUUUCCGAAUGGGGAAACCCAGUGUGAUUCGUCACACUAUCAUUAACUGAAUCCAUAGGUUAAUGAGGCGAACCGGGGGAACUGAAACAUCUAAGUACCCCGAGGAAAAGAAAUCAACCGAGAUUCCCCCAGUAGCGGCGAGCGAACGGGGAGGAGCCCAGAGCCUGAAUCAGUGUGUGUGUUAGUGGAAGCGUCUGGAAAGGCGCGCGAUACAGGGUGACAGCCCCGUACACAAAAAUGCACAUAUUGUGAGCUCGAUGAGUAGGGCGGGACACGUGGUAUCCUGUCUGAAUAUGGGGGGACCAUCCUCCAAGGCUAAAUACUCCUGACUGACCGAUAGUGAACCAGUACCGUGAGGGAAAGGCGAAAAGAACCCCGGCGAGGGGAGUGAAAAAGAACCUGAAACCGUGUACGUACAAGCAGUGGGAGCCUCUUUUAUGGGGUGACUGCGUACCUUUUGUAUAAUGGGUCAGCGACUUAUAUUCUGUAGCAAGGUUAACCGAAUAGGGGAGCCGAAGGGAAACCGAGUCUUAACUGGGCGUUAAGUUGCAGGGUAUAGACCCGAAACCCGGUGAUCUAGCCAUGGGCAGGUUGAAGGUUGGGUAACACUAACUGGAGGACCGAACCGACUAAUGUUGAAAAAUUAGCGGAUGACUUGUGGCUGGGGGUGAAAGGCCAAUCAAACCGGGAGAUAGCUGGUUCUCCCCGAAAGCUAUUUAGGUAGCGCCUCGUGAAUUCAUCUCCGGGGGUAGAGCACUGUUUCGGCAAGGGGGUCAUCCCGACUUACCAACCCGAUGCAAACUGCGAAUACCGGAGAAUGUUAUCACGGGAGACACACGGCGGGUGCUAACGUCCGUCGUGAAGAGGGAAACAACCCAGACCGCCAGCUAAGGUCCCAAAGUCAUGGUUAAGUGGGAAACGAUGUGGGAAGGCCCAGACAGCCAGGAUGUUGGCUUAGAAGCAGCCAUCAUUUAAAGAAAGCGUAAUAGCUCACUGGUCGAGUCGGCCUGCGCGGAAGAUGUAACGGGGCUAAACCAUGCACCGAAGCUGCGGCAGCGACGCUUAUGCGUUGUUGGGUAGGGGAGCGUUCUGUAAGCCUGUGAAGGUGUGCUGUGAGGCAUGCUGGAGGUAUCAGAAGUGCGAAUGCUGACAUAAGUAACGAUAAAGCGGGUGAAAAGCCCGCUCGCCGGAAGACCAAGGGUUCCUGUCCAACGUUAAUCGGGGCAGGGUGAGUCGACCCCUAAGGCGAGGCCGAAAGGCGUAGUCGAUGGGAAACAGGUUAAUAUUCCUGUACUUGGUGUUACUGCGAAGGGGGACGGAGAAGGCUAUGUUGGCCGGGCGACGGUUGUCCCGGUUUAAGCGGGUAGGCUGGUUUUCCAGGCAAAUCCGGAAAAUCAAGGCUGAGGCGUGAUGACGAGGCACUACGGUGCUGAAGCAACAAAUGCCCUGCUUCCAGGAAAAGCCUCUAAGCAUCAGGUAACAUCAAAUCGUACCCCAAACCGACACAGGUGGUCAGGUAGAGAAUACCAAGGCGCUUGAGAGAACUCGGGUGAAGGAACUAGGCAAAAUGGUGCCGUAACUUCGGGAGAAGGCACGCUGAUAUGUAGGUGAAGCGACUUGCUCGUGGAGCUGAAAUCAGUCGAAGAUACCAGCUGGCUGCAACUGUUUAUUAAAAACACAGCACUGUGCAAACACGAAAGUGGACGUAUACGGUGUGACGCCUGCCCGGUGCCGGAAGGUUAAUUGAUGGGGUCAGCGCAAGCGAAGCUCUUGAUCGAAGCCCCGGUAAACGGCGGCCGUAACUAUAACGGUCCUAAGGUAGCGAAAUUCCUUGUCGGGUAAGUUCCGACCUGCACGAAUGGCGUAAUGAUGGCCAGGCUGUCUCCACCCGAGACUCAGUGAAAUUGAACUCGCUGUGAAGAUGCAGUGUACCCGCGGCAAGACGGAAAGACCCCGUGAACCUUUACUAUAGCUUGACACUGAACAUUGAGCCUUGAUGUGUAGGAUAGGUGGGAGGCUUAGAAGUGUGGACGCCAGUCUGCAUGGAGCCGACCUUGAAAUACCACCCUUUAAUGUUUGAUGUUCUAACGUGGACCCGUGAUCCGGGUUGCGGACAGUGUCUGGUGGGUAGUUUGACUGGGGCGGUCUCCUCCUAAAGAGUAACGGAGGAGCACGAAGGUUGGCUAAUCCUGGUCGGACAUCAGGAGGUUAGUGCAAUGGCAUAAGCCAGCUUGACUGCGAGCGUGACGGCGCGAGCAGGUGCGAAAGCAGGUCAUAGUGAUCCGGUGGUUCUGAAUGGAAGGGCCAUCGCUCAACGGAUAAAAGGUACUCCGGGGAUAACAGGCUGAUACCGCCCAAGAGUUCAUAUCGACGGCGGUGUUUGGCACCUCGAUGUCGGCUCAUCACAUCCUGGGGCUGAAGUAGGUCCCAAGGGUAUGGCUGUUCGCCAUUUAAAGUGGUACGCGAGCUGGGUUUAGAACGUCGUGAGACAGUUCGGUCCCUAUCUGCCGUGGGCGCUGGAGAACUGAGGGGGCUGCUCCUAGUACGAGAGGACCGGAGUGGACGCAUCACUGGUGUUCGGGUUGUCAUGCCAAUGGCACUGCCCGGUAGCUAAAUGCGGAAGAGAUAAGUGCUGAAAGCAUCUAAGCACGAAACUUGCCCCGAGAUGAGUUCUCCCUGACUCCUUGAGAGUCCUGAAGGAACGUUGAAGACGACGACGUUGAUAGGCCGGGUGUGUAAGCGCAGCGAUGCGUUGAGCUAACCGGUACUAAUGAACCGUGAGGCUUAACCUU